Molecule: ribosomal RNA, 426 nt
Filed under: uncultured prokaryote
Description: bacterial SSU rRNA
Rfam family: Bacterial small subunit ribosomal RNA
Source: RNAcentral
UGGGGAAUUUUCCGCAAUGGGCGCAAGCCUGACGGAGCAAUACCGCGUGAGGGAGGAAGGCUUUUGGGUUGUAAACCUCUUUUCUCAGGGAAGAAGCUCUGACGGUACCUGAGGAAUCAGCAUCGGCUAACUCCGUGCCAGCAGCCGCGGUAAUACGAAGGGGGCUAGCGUUGUUCGGAAUUACUGGGCGUAAAGCGCGCGUAGGCGGAUUGAUCAGUCAGGGGUGAAAUCCCGGGGCUCAACCCCGGAACUGCCUUUGAUACUGUCAAUCUCGAGGUCGAGAGAGGUGAGUGGAAUUCCGAGUGUAGAGGUGAAAUUCGUAGAUAUUCGGAGGAACACCAGUGGCGAAGGCGGCUCACUGGCUCGAACCUGACGCUGAGGUGCGAAAGCGUGGGGAGCAAACAGGAUUAGAUACCCGCGUAGUCC